GGGGAAUAUUGGACAAUGGGGGCAACCCUGAUCCAGCCAUGCCGCGUGAGUGAUGAAGGCCUUAGGGUUGUAAAGCUCUUUCAGUGGUGAAGAUAAUGACGGUAACCACAGAAGAAGCCCCGGCUAACUUCGUGCCAGCAGCCGCGGUAAUACGAAGGGGGCUAGCGUUGUUCGGAUUUACUGGGCGUAAAGCGCACGUAGGCGGAUAUUUAAGUCAGGGGUGAAAUCCCGGAGCUCAACUCCGGAACUGCCUUUGAUACUGGAUAUCUAGAGACCGAGAGAGGUAAGUGGAACUCCUAGUGUAGAGGUGGAAUUCGUAGAUAUUAGGAAGAACACCAGUGGCGAAGGCGGCUUACUGGCUCGGAACUGACGCUGAGGUGCGAAAGCGUGGGGAGCAAAC
Molecule: ribosomal RNA, 400 nt
Filed under: uncultured bacterium
Lineage: Bacteria
Description: bacterial SSU rRNA
Rfam family: Bacterial small subunit ribosomal RNA
Source: RNAcentral